This 460-nucleotide ribosomal RNA is filed under the name uncultured bacterium. RNAcentral's name for it is "partial 16S ribosomal RNA". It matches the Rfam family "Bacterial small subunit ribosomal RNA", at positions 338 to 795 of the family's 1533-position model. The record is from RNAcentral.
CCUACGGGAGGCAGCAGUGAGGAAUAUUGGUCAAUGGGCGGGAGCCUGAACCAGCCAAGUCGCGUGAGGGAUGACGGCCCUAUGGGUUGUAAACCUCUUUUGCCGGGGAGCAAAGUGCCGCACGUGUGCGGUUUGAAGAGUACCCGGAGAAAAAGCAUCGGCUAACUCCGUGCCAGCAGCCGCGGUAAUACGGAGGAUGCGAGCGUUAUCCGGAUUUAUUGGGUUUAAAGGGUGCGUAGGCGGUCGGAUAAGUUAGAGGUGAAAUCCCGAGGCUCAACUUCGGAAUUGCCUCUGAUACUGUUCGGCUAGAGAGUAGUUGCGGUAGGCGGAAUGUAUGGUGUAGCGGUGAAAUGCUUAGAGAUCAUACAGAACACCGAUUGCGAAGGCAGCUUACCAAGCUACUUCUGACGUUGAGGCACGAAAGCGUGGGGAGCAAACAGGAUUAGAUACCCGAGUAGUC